UUCAAAUGAUUUUUUUUUGAAAAAUUCAAAAGUGAAAAAAAAGUGAGAGGGCAAACGUUCUUGAAAAUUGGUAUUUCAAGAAGCAAGAAGCAUGAAACAAUGGAAUUUGAAUGAUGAUUUUUUUUUUAAAUCAAAGAAGGAAAGCAGAAAAGCAAACGGCCCUAGCGAAACAAGGGCAAAGCUUUCAAAAAUCGGUCCUUAUUUCAAGAGGUAUACGAUGGUUUUUGCUGAUGUUUUCCUUGAAAAAGUAAUUUUCAGAUGUCACACAAUUAUUGAACUGAUUUGCAUUUUCCUAAAAAACCAGACUUUUCGACUUUUCAUGAUUUUCAUUUUUUUUUUUUCAAGCAUGUGAUGACGAUAGUGUUUUUUUAAAGUCUGCUUUUUUACACAAAUAUGAAUUCUGCUUAGGGGCCAAUUCUGAGUUGGGGGAGGGGGCACGUCCCCCCGUUGCGGCGCCUAUGUUCAGAUGCAAUUACGUGAGCAGGCGAAAACGAGCAGAAUUUUGUGAAUUUCAGCUUUUUGUUCGUGUUGAUUUCAAAUUGGUUCUUAGGCGUUGAAUUGUAAUAGGUACAUUUUUUUCGUGAUGAUUUCAAAAUGAUUUUUCAUAAUGAUUUUUCAUAAUGAUUCAUGUAGAAUAAAGUGAUCAGUGAUGAAAAUCGUCAGGAAUUUUUUUCAUGAAAAUAUCACGACGAUGUACUUGAAACACAAUGUUGAUGCGUUACGUAUCAACACACUUAUGUACGAGUAUCAUGAUACAAUGCUGUGGGUAUUGACAUAAGGCAUUAUUGUAGGCAUUAGGCACUAGGUGUAGGUACUACAUACCUGCCUGGUUAUAAAUCACGUCAAAAAGUACGGUACGAAUGUUUGGUUUCAGUAUUCUUCGAUUCACGCGAGUGUUGGAUUUGUAAAUAUGGAUUUCUUGAUGCGUAGCUCGCACAGGCUUUAUUAAAACACUGUGGUACUGGUUGAAUUUUUCCGUUGAUCGUAAAAUGCGUCAUUCAAAUACCUAUUCAAGUUGACGAAUAAUUCACCAGAUGUCUGUAAAUUAUGAUAUUGUUUUUCGGGGUACUUUUUUGAAACGAUCACUAUAUAUAAUUCAAAAUCCGAAGAAAAGGAAUCAGUAUUCGGUUUAACGUAUAGGUAGUGGCAUUAAUCAACGCGUUGAUAAUACAUAUCUGAAGCAUUACAGUAAUAAUUUUUAAAGAAUCGAUUUUGAAGAUACUUUAUACGUACAAUGCUGGCCAUUAAAACCUAUUUUUUCAUGCUAUUGGUCGUAGUAUUACAAUUUUAUGCUGUUAAAUAUACUGUUGUUGUUGCUCCAGGCGGUAUCUUUGGCUCAGUCUGGACUGAUCCCACCGGUUACGAUGCUGAUACUGAGAAAAAAUAGAUAUAUAGGAAAAAAUCGGUAUGUCAACUUUUUCUUAUAAAUUUACACACCUUUAUUUUUUUACAAAAAUAAACAUUAUAAUUGUCAGCAUGAUUAUAUUAAUAAUACUCAUAAUUGAUGUACUUGUGGCACCAUUUUAUAUACUUCACACACGUUCAGGCACCAAAAUUUACGUUGUGGUACCACCAAAUGGUGCCACAACGUAUUUCAUUUAAAAUCAUGUGGAAUGACAUCAGGGCACUGCCAGGGGUCGUUAGGCAAAUUUUUGUAAUGGUGCCACAACGACAUUUAAAAGUCCCCUUCAAUAUACUGGUAAAAUUAUAUAGUCAACAGACGUUGUGGCACCAUUUUCAAGUCUCAUUGGUUUUCGAUGUAUUCUUUUGUAAAAAUUUGUUGUAAAAUGUUUCAAUUAGAUGGCGUUGUUGCUUAUACCCUUAAUCGUCACUCUAUACUCAUAUAAUAUAGAGGCACCAGUUGGUUUUUAUUAAUGAAUAAACCGUUGCCAGAAAAACGCUCGUGUAAAUGACUAAGUUUUCUUCACUUGCUACCUGGUGCCACAACGACGUUCAACUAAAUGGUGCCAUAACGUUACAAAAGUAGAUAUUUAUAAUUAUGAUGUUUAUAAUUAUUAUUAUUAUAAGAAAAAUAAUCUGAAGAAGCUUUUUAACUCGUAGUUCAAAAAUAAAUUACCUACUAUUUUUUCUUCAAAAUAACCAAAGCAAUUUUAUUUUCUAAUAAAUUAAUUACAAUUUAAGUAGAUAUUUAUUUAUUCAUUUUUUAGAAUCAACUAUCUAACUAAUUUAAU
Long non-coding RNA from Planococcus citri (citrus mealybug), 2192 nucleotides. RefSeq lists it as uncharacterized. The record is from RefSeq and is a predicted model, not a curated record. The transcript is spliced from 3 exons. Lineage: Eukaryota; Metazoa; Arthropoda; Insecta; Hemiptera; Pseudococcidae.